Molecule: RNA transcript, 2018 nt
Organism: Triticum aestivum (bread wheat)
Lineage: Eukaryota; Viridiplantae; Streptophyta; Magnoliopsida; Poales; Poaceae
Exons: 4
Source: RefSeq, a predicted model, not a curated record
GUCAGUGCAGGCUCUUGUAGCGCUGGCCAUCCUCUUCCUCUUCUAGAAAAAAAAAGGUUGGAUCGGUCGAUCGAUGCGGCGCGGCGAUGUCGACGACGACGUCAGGCACCACCGCCGGAUUCCCCGCGCCGACGAGAUCGAUGCUGCCAGGUUCCCCAUGACAAUCUGUUACAGCGACGACGACGAGGAGAUCGAUCUGAAGUCGCCGUCGGAGAUCGUAGCCCUCCACGCCGCGUGCCGCGACCGCAUCACCGAGUACGACCCCAAGAAGAGAGCCCGCGUUCUCACCCGCUUCUGCGGCGUCAACCUCGCCGGCUUCGACCUCGACAGAGAGUCCAAGGUUGGCCUCGGGCCGCUGCUUGAGGAUGUAACGCCGCAGCUGUGGGAGCUCCGGGCGGGGACGUCGUACAAUGUCGUUUCCGUCAAGGAGGAUAUGUUAGCAUUGACAGGUCCACGUCGAGGAUUAGUAGCAUUUGAUAAUAUACAUUUUGAGUUCAACCUGAAGGUAAAGGGUGAUCCUGAUGAUGAAGACUUUAGCAAAGGCGUAAUUGAGUCCCGCACCCUUGACUCUGGACCCAUAACUAUGAUGCUACCUAGUUGGCUCAGUACAGUGGAAUUAGUAUUUGCACCUGUUAAACAUCCGGUGGCGGCUAGCCUCCAAAUCAACAUUCUGAACGGUCCGCCCUAUGCCCCUUUCGUUGGCAAAGUAUCUUCUGGGACUAGAAAUGCCGAGACCCAUAUUAUUCUAUAUGAUGGUAGGGCAAUGAGUUGCAGCGGGAUAUUAGUCGGAGAUGAUGGCUCCAUUCCCUUGAGUCGUAAUUUGGUGGUUAUCCCUAUACCUACAUGGGACGAUGAUGAAGAGUUUUUGGUCCAUGUUUGUAUUUUUGAUAAUGACGAGGAUGAAGGCACUCAUGUUACUCUACAGCACCCUGAUGAAGAGCAUGUUUGCACUCACGGUUCCUAUGAGCUAAAAGUGAAGGUUACAUGGACUGCCAUCCUCACAAGACCGAUGGGUGCCAAAUAUAACCCAAAGAGGAACCUCUCUUGGACCGAGCGUUAUGGUUCGCUGAAUUACAGUGGUUGAUGAUGGUGAUUGUUGACCCUUGUCUGUGACGUGGGAGGACAUGACCCUGUAGCCAGAACUUGCAGAAGACGCCCACUUCACUUUUUCAGGUUUGAUAUGGACAGUUCUCUUCAGAACUGCGAGCUUCGUCAUCAGAUCAGUUACCUUAAUCCCGCGCCAAGGUUUGUUUUGCGCCACAGAACCUGAAACGACAUCCCACUGGUUGAACAGCUCACUGUGCUCCUUGGGUACCGGACUAUCCAGUUCUUCGUCAAUGUUGUCAGUCACCCAUGUCCUCUAGAGCGCGAAGCGGAUUGCUUCGCAAAUCGUUACAGUCGGGAAAGAUAGGGGGCCGGAUUUCAGAACCUGAAGUCCCCUCUCACUGCGGUAUAGCUCUCCAAGUUUUCCCAAGCUGGCGAUGCAGUGGGUAAAAGCUGGUUUACCCACGUUUAUGUCGAAUCCACCUAUCUUGAAGUAGGAGCUAGUGAGGGGCAACUGGACGGUCCCAAGUCCAGGCCUGCUGGUAUUGUACGGGAACUGAUCUCCAGACGGCGGAAGUAUGUCCGUACCAAAUUCAGAGUAGCGAUACCACACACCUGUAGUGUAAAACAAACAAACAAACAACUCUUGUAAUAGCUUGACAAGAAUAUAAUAACGUGCUUAAGAAGUGUUUCCAUUUUCUUUUCUGUUUAUGCUCAUAGAUUAAUGGGUAAUUUGGUAGCCGGAACCGAGCAGUGUUUGCAUUUGUUGCAAAAGUUAUCUUUACAUACAAUGUUGAUGUUGUGGCUGGAUAUCAAAAUACUAUGGCAUUGAUGAUUGUCAUGCCAUGUAUUGUAAACUCUGAAUCCAUCACUCGUACAUCAAUUCAACAUGAUGUCUAGGAAUUCAUGUUUCUCAUCUUUCAGGAAAUUUAUUCUCAAAUCGUUCUAUUUUUCCUAUUGUGGGGGCUCAACGU